GCCCCAAACCCCACCCUAGCAGCAGACGACUCGAAGACCACGUCCUCCUUCCCGCUCGGCCCUAGCUGAGUUUUUCCGCGGCGAAGCAGGAAGUGCACUGCUCCCGCUUCACUUCCCAGCUCAGAAACCGGUCGGGAAUAUUCUAAGCACACGUCCCCCCAACUGUGUUCCCCAGGUGAACUGCAUGUUCUCAGUCUAUGAUCCUGUAAUAAUCUGUUCCUGUCCUGUGAGAGUGAUGAUGACUACACAGUGGGUCAAGCACACUGAGUUGUUUUGUUGAGUUUGUUCUGGUUUUUGGUUUGCUUUGGUUUUGUAGCAGAGGCAAUAGGUGCUUUCCACCCGGAAAACUCUGCUCCCAAGAUCCCCUAUCAGGAUUAACUGCAUGGUGCCAGAUUGUUGGUGCAAAUUCUAAUUCAUCUGAGCUACAUGAGAAGAGUUCAAAGAUGGAGCUAACAUUCUAAUAUAAGUAAAAUGAAGUUUUCUCAUUGUG
RNAcentral lists this long non-coding RNA (490 nucleotides) under Mus pahari (shrew mouse). Its description in RNAcentral is "lncRNA (MGP_PahariEiJ_G0012311.1)". Lineage: Eukaryota; Metazoa; Chordata; Mammalia; Rodentia; Muridae. The record is from RNAcentral.